AGAAAUUCCUGUCAUUAUUCUUUUUCUUUUAUUGAAGACUAUUAGUCUAUUAUAUUUCUACGCAUCCUUGAUCAUGUUAAAUUUAUUUCCUCAUCUUCAAAUUCUUCAAAUUCCUCACUAGCUUUUGGCCUUUUAUCAUUCUGCAGGUUACAAACAGUUGAGGAGAUGUUCUCCAAUGUAGUCAUUACAUGCCUAUUGUUCGUCCAGAAGGAAAGGCUUUGCCUUGUGUAUUCUAUUGCCAUGGAAACAAGUUAGAAAAUAAAUGUGGAUGAGUAGAGAUUGUUCUUAUAGAAAAAUGGAUGCAGGGCAGAUGUCAGUGAAGCGGCUAUAAUAUUGUUGCCUUCAAGCAUUACUGUUUUCACCCUUGAUUUCUCAGGGUCUGGACUAUCUGGAGGAGAGCAUGUCACAUUAGGGUGGAAUGAACAAUUUGAGGUGGAAUAAGUUGCAAGAUGUCAUUCCUCUUGAAAUAGAUGAACUAAAGAGUCUAACCCAUCUAUACUUGAGUUUCAAUAAUUUGAAAGGAGAAAUCCCCAAAGAAUUAGCUAAUCUUCCUCUGCUACGUUGCCUCUAUCUACAUGAAAAUCGUUUUAUUAGGCGAAUUCCACCAGAAUUGGGCACUCUGCAACAACUCUGACAUUUGUAAAUUUCAUGUUCUAUUCCCUACAGUAUUUGUAUGCUUUACUAUUUGUAUCUCAUUGCAGAUAAUCUCUCUGUGAGAACCAUGUUUUCAUAGGGAUGUUGGUAACAAUCAUUUGGUGGGAACUAUUAGGGAACUAAUAUGUAUUGAGGGAUGCUUUCCAUCUCUUCGCAACUUUUAUCUGAAUAAUAACUACCUUACGGGUGGAAUCCCAGCUCAGCUAGCAAACUCGACUAAUUUGGAAAUCUUGCA
Non-coding RNA from Camellia sinensis, 889 nucleotides. The record is from RefSeq and is a predicted model, not a curated record. Lineage: Eukaryota; Viridiplantae; Streptophyta; Magnoliopsida; Ericales; Theaceae.